GGACCAGCUGUGCGGCGCAGGUGCAGCUGGCUCACUGGGAAGGGGCCCAGGCGCAGCACCUGCAGGGUGGGGCGGGUAUGUAGGGCGGUGCAGCCCGGGGACCUUCAGAUGCCGUUUCUCUGCUGCCCAGCACUGGCGGAAGGACCCGCGAGAGGCCUGGGAGGAAGCCGGUGUGAGGUGGCACAGUCGGUCAGCUGGCAUGGGGCCCAUGCUGCUGCCCCUGGCUCUGCUGGCCCUGCUGCUGGGGCCUGCGCUGGCCCGGGGUGCCCGGGAUCCGGAGGUGUUCUGUGGAGUAUUUUCUUCCAUUGGAAGCCAACCCAUUUAGGGAAACCUGGGAAGAGACAUCUCGUCUCCUUCAAUUUGGUUGAAUUCUGUCUCUCUGGCACGAACGGCCCUGAGUACUCACGGUGAACGCAGAGGCAGCAGCGCUGCUGCUCCAUGUCCUGAAGCGAUUCUCCUAAUCCUGCCUCGCAAAACAGAAUACAGAAAACCUAACCUACUCAGGGGGAAGUGAGUGUCCUGCCUGCCCUCCUUCCAGGAGUCAUAUUAGUAAUAAAAU
RNAcentral lists this long non-coding RNA (559 nucleotides) under Piliocolobus tephrosceles (Ugandan red Colobus). Its description in RNAcentral is "lncRNA (ENSPTEG00000038292.1)". The record is from RNAcentral. Lineage: Eukaryota; Metazoa; Chordata; Mammalia; Primates; Cercopithecidae.